UACGUAGGGUCCGAGCGUUGUCCGGAAUUAUUGGGCGUAAAGGGCUCGUAGGCGGUUUGUCACGUCGGGAGUGAAAACUCAGGGCUCAACCCUGAGCGUGCUUCCGAUACGGGCAGACUAGAGGUAUGCAGGGGAGAACGGAAUUCCUGGUGUAGCGAUGGAAUGCGCAGAUAUCAGGAGGAACACCGGUGGCGAAGGCGGUUCUCUGGGCAUUACCUGACGCUGAGAGACGAAAGCUAGGGGAGCGAAUGGG
Molecule: ribosomal RNA, 253 nt
Filed under: uncultured bacterium
Lineage: Bacteria
Description: partial 16S ribosomal RNA
Rfam family: Bacterial small subunit ribosomal RNA
Source: RNAcentral